Molecule: long non-coding RNA, 636 nt
Filed under: Numida meleagris (helmeted guineafowl)
Lineage: Eukaryota; Metazoa; Chordata; Aves; Galliformes; Numididae
Description: lncRNA (ENSNMEG00000000090.1)
Source: RNAcentral
UGGGAGCCCCAUUUGGUGGAAAAAAAAAAAAAGCCUCUGAUCACAGCAUCUGAUUGUGCUGGGUAAUGACAAUAUCCUAUGCUUCAGGGAACUCCCUCCUUCCUAAAUCUCUGCAAAAUGACUCAAGGACUGUACUGCAAUCAGCUGGGGAUUGCUGCCAUCUGAUAGCUCUGGAGCAUCUGCCCUGAUUGUCUAUAGCACCCUUGAUCUCUGCAAGUAAGCAUAGAAGGGGAGUAAUAGAUCAAGCUGAGCAGAAUUAUCUUUUUGCAAUGACAGGUAAAACCCAAAUGUGAAGAAUAGUAGUGAAGAUUUUCCUGGGUUCUUCUUUCCAGUGCUAUUACAGAUAGCAGGUACAUUUGCAGAUCUGGAGACAUCUAGAAGGAAAGAUCUGGUACCCAUGCCUGCCCACCUCCCUUCCCUCCCUGAUGAGUCCAUCCCUGUGACCUUCCCCAGCUUGACUCUGCUGGCCACGUCCAGCAUAAGGAGCUUAGAGGAUCCACUCAGAAGUAAUCUCAGAGGGACCAGAAAAGAAGAUUAAACAGCUUUCAAGCUUCAGAAAAGUGUCUGGUGUGGUGGGCUCAGGCUCUGGGGGAUGUAGGUAAUAAACUAUGUGGAUAAUUUUUGAAUUGAAGUAUU